RNA transcript from Octodon degus (degu), 2153 nucleotides. It is a transcript of the gene named polyadenylate-binding protein 4-like, with no coding region annotated. The transcript has 2 exons. NCBI's taxonomy places the organism in Eukaryota, Metazoa, Chordata, Mammalia, Rodentia, Octodontidae. The record is from RefSeq and is a predicted model, not a curated record.
AUGAACGCAGCAGCCAGCAGCUACCCCGUGGCCUCUCUGUACGUAGGCGAUCUGCACUCUGACGUCACCGAGGCCAUGCUCUAGGAAAAGUUCAGUCCGGCGGGGGCUGUGCUGUCCAUCGGGGUCUGCCGAGAUAUGAUCACCCGCCGCUCCCUGGGUUAUGCCUACGUCAACUUCCAGCAGCCAGCUGAUGCUGAGCAGGCCCUGGAUACCAUGAACUUUGAUGUGAUUAAAGGAAAGCCAAUCCGAAUCAUGUGGUCUCAGAGGGAUCCCUCUUUGAGAAAAUCUGGUGUGGGAAAUGUCUUCACCAAGAACCUGGACAAAUCUAUAGAUAACAAGGCACUUUAUGAUACUUUUCUGCUUUUGGAAACAUUUUAUCUUGCAAGGUGGUGUGUGAUGAGAAUGGCUCUAAGGGUUAUGCCUUUGUCCACUUCGAGACCCAAGAGGCUGCUGACAAGGCCAUCGAAAAGAUGAACGGCAUGCUCCUCAAUGACCGCAAAGUGUUUGUAGGCAGAUUCAAGUCUGGCAAAGAGCAGGAGGCUGAGCUUGGAGCCAAAGCCAAAGAAUUCACCAAUGUUUAUUUCAAGAACUUCGGAUAAGAGGCAGAUGAUGAGAGUCUGAAGGAGCUAUUCAGCCAGUUUGGUAAGACCCUAAGUGUCAAGGUGAUGAGAGAUCCCAGUGGGAAAUCCAAAGGCUUUGGCUUUGUGAGUUAUGAAAAACAUGAGGAUGCCAAUAAGGCCGUGGAAGAGAUGAAUGGGAAAGAAAUCAGUGGUAAAGUCAUAUUUGUAGGCUGUGCACAGAAGAAAGUAGAACGGCAGCCUGAAUUAAAACGGAAAUUUGAGCAGCUGAAACAGGCAAGAAUUAGUCGAUACCAGGAAGUGAACCUCUACAUUAAGAACUUGGAUGACACCAUUGAUGAUGAGAAAUUAAGAAAAGAAUUUUCUCCAUUUGGGUCAAUCACCAGUGCUAAGGUAAUGCUGGAGGAUGGAAGAAGCAAAGGAUUUGGUUUUGUCUGUUUCUCAUCUCCUGAGGAGGCAAGCAAAGCAGUCACUGAAAUAAAUGGGUGCAUUGUGGGUUCCAAGCCACUGUAUGUUGCCCUAGCCCAAAGGAAGGAGGAGAGAAAGGCUCACUUAACCAAUCAGUACAUGCAGUGAGUGACUGGAAUGAGAGCACUCCCUGCCAAUGCCAUCUUAAACCAGUUCCAGCCUGCAGCUGGUGGCUACUUCGUGCCGGCAGUUCCGCAGGCUCAGGGAAGACCUCCGUAUUACACGCCUAACCAGUUGGCACAGAUGAGGCCUAAUCCACGUUGGCAGCAAGGUGGGAGACCUCAAGGCUUCCAAGGAAUGCCAAGUGCUAUACGCCAGUCUGGGCCUCGUCCAGCUCUUCGCCAUCUGGCUCCAAGUGGUGUUCCCACAGCCGUUCCAAACCUCACACCUCGGGCUGCAGUUGCUGCUACUGCUCCUCAGACUGUGGCACCAUACAAGUAUGCCUCUAGUGUCCGCAGUCCACACCCUGCCAUACAGCCUCUGCAGGCACUGCAGCCUGCUGUCCACGUGCAGGGUCAGGAGCCCCUGACUGCCUCUAUGCUGGCUGCAGCACCCCCCCAGGAGCAGAAGCAGAUGCUAGGAAAACGUUUGUUCCCACUCAUCCAAACAAUGCAUUCGAACCUGGCUGGCAAGAUCACAGGCAUGCUGCUGGAGAUCGAUAACUCAGAGCUGCUGCACAUGCUUGAGUCCCCUGAGUCUGCGCUCAAAGGUGGAGGAAGCUGUGGCAGUUCUGCAGGCUCAUCAUGCCAAGAAAGAAGCUGCCCAGAAGGUGGGCGCUGUUGCUGCUGCUACCUCUUAGACAAGGAGAACACAAUUCAAAAGCCAAAUAAUCCCUCAUGGAAUUGAGCUCAAGGUUUGAAGACUUCCUAGUUUGUCCUAUGGACUUCAACACCAAGAACCACAAGUUGCAAAUUGAAUAGGUCAUUUUGUAUCAAAAGGUCAAUUAUGAAGCACCUAGAACUUUUCAAUUAUAGAAGUAUAUUCUCUGGGUUCUGCUAUGGCCCAGACUUUUUUUUUCUAUUGUGGGUUUUGAUUUUUUUCCCCCAGAAAUUGGUUUUAUUUGAUGUACCCAAGUCUUAAGUUUCUCAAUAAAGAAAAAAAAUCUCC